This is a long non-coding RNA of Neoarius graeffei (lesser salmon catfish), 2390 nucleotides long. RefSeq lists it as uncharacterized. Lineage: Eukaryota; Metazoa; Chordata; Actinopteri; Siluriformes; Ariidae. The record is from RefSeq and is a predicted model, not a curated record. The transcript has 3 exons.
UUGUUGUUGCACUUUAGUAUUUUUUGUACUCAAAACAAAAAAAAAAAAAAAACAAUGACAAAAAAAUACAACUAAGAAAACAAAAAUGAACAAAAUGAAAUGACUGGGAGGAAGAGAAGGAACGGGAGAGAGAAGAGACGACGAGGACGAUGCUGCCUUUAUCAACAGUGACCCAGCAUGUAUCUGGGGCAUGGACACAAGGCACAGGGAGCAAACCACCACACACACACACACACACACACACACACACACAGUAAAUGUAUGAAUGGUCACAUCCCAAACCUCUGUAGUCUUGCACUUUUUCCUUUUAUCUGCCGAGUGCUGAAUUCUCAGCGAAUCGCAUUAAAAUUACAAACUCAUGAAUGUUAACCAAUGGUCGUGUCCCAAAUCUCACCUCGGCCCUGCUCACUUUACACAUCGGUCACAUGAAACGCUGCGAGGAAGCUUAAACAGGUGAACUCUAAAAGUUCAGUCAACUUCAUUCACUAAUGGUCUUACCCCUGACAGUGCGCACUCCAAACCUAGUGCACUUGAAAUAUUCUGCUUGACAUUUGGAACACAUCAGAUUUAGCAGACUGUAUUGUUGGACAAGUAUUGUUAGUGCCAAGGGUUAAAUUCAAGAGUCUAGAGAUCUGGAUACAAACCUCCACUCAUAUAUGUGUGCGCGCACGCGUGUGUGUGUGUGUGUGUGUGUGUCAGACGUACAAAGGGAAGGACCAGACUGCAAAUGCGAGCAUUUUAUGAUAUGUAUGAACGAGCAUCUCUCAAACACACACACAAAAUGAUGGGCGUGACAGCGCAGCACAGCAAAAACAAUAAAAGGCAGCAAAAAUUAAAACAUAAAAAUAAAAAUAAUUACACUCUCCUCGGCCUGUGGGACAAACGAACAUCUCUUGGAGAAAAAAGGGACGAAGAAAUAAAGAAAUAUAUAAAAACACGCACGUACAGAAACACAGAAAGCUGACAGAAACGUUGGCGAGCUAUACAUGGCGUCACUGUACAGGAAGAGGAAACGGCGAUGCACUGCGCUGCCACGAGCAAGAAAAGAGAUGGAGAGAAAGGUGUGGAAUGAAUGGAAUUAGGGAGGGAGUGAAAAGAAAGAGGGAGCGGUUAAGAAAAUAAAGCUCGCUUUAAACUGAAAGUGCAGGAUCGUGUUUUUUUUUUUUUGUUUGUUUGUUUGCAACACCGAUUUUUUUCUCUCUUUUAAUAAUAUUAAUAAUUGUCAUUAUAAUAUUAUAACCAUAAAACUUCUUUUACAGAAAACAAGAACAAUAAUAAUAAUAAUUAAUAAUGAUCAUAUUCCUACGUGAACAUUAGCAGUAAAAAUGCAUUUAAAAAAAAAAAAAAAAAAAAGACAGACAGACAGAGAGAGAAGGAGACGAAACGAAUGAGAGCUGGACGUCCUGUGCCAUGGCGAAGGUCUCCGGGCCCGUCCACCCCCGCCAGCGUAUCAGAGUAGACCGCUUCGCGCUGGGCUGCUAUCAGAGCUGCUCCGGAAUGAUCCAUUGUAGCGCUGCGGAUGGGGGGGGCGGGGUUACAAAGCGCUGACACCACCCCGCUUCCCAAAGAAAGGAAGAAAAAAAAAAAAAACCCACAAAAGGACAGGCUGUUUUAUGAAAUACUUUGGGUUUGUGGCUUUGCGUGUGAUCUGUGUUUGUGUGUGUGUGAGAGAAUGUGUGUUUAUAUUUAUACAGAUGUGUCUACGUAAGACUGUGUGCAGAUGCCUCGCAAUGGCGACGUCAACAAGACAGACGGGGCGGGCCCGAAGGAGCAGAUGGACGGUUUGGGGGCGGAGUCGGAGGGAGUCACCCGGUUCGUCCAAUCGGUAGGAAGAGCGAGACGAUGAGCGAGCCUCUUCUUGGAGGAAUUCCAUGGAGGAGAGGAAAAGAAUGCAGGGAUAUUAGUAGAGAAAUUGAUGUGCAACAGGAUUAGGCAUGGUAAAUAUCACGGUACAACUAAUCAUCAGCACACGGCUGUUUCAUGUGCAAAUCAGAGCAUAAACACGUCUUGUCACAGCCACUGCAAAGUUGGGCUGGAGCCGCUGAUGGGAAAACGAAACCUAAGCCGAGCACCGUGGCUCUUCGUCCUGGUUCUUUGGGGAGAGGGCAGAGGACUCUGGCUGUGCGGGGCGUGGCAUUACAGUCUAGCUGCUAUUGUUUUUCUAAGCAAAGUCUCUGUUCCAAGUUCCUGGCAGUUUCAAAAGCUUAUGAAAAACCUACAUCAUGUCACAGAGCGUUAAUCUUGCGAUAAAAAAAUUAUCGCCGUUAAAAUUGAGUCAAGUUAACGUGAUAAUAACGCGACAUUUUUGACAGCACUAAUAUAUCAAAUUAACAUUUUGAAAGUUGUGCAGUGUGGAAUAGUGUGUAACUUGUUUCCUGAAUGUUGUAAAG